Molecule: ribosomal RNA, 233 nt
Filed under: uncultured bacterium
Lineage: Bacteria
Description: partial 16S ribosomal RNA
Rfam family: Bacterial small subunit ribosomal RNA
Source: RNAcentral
UCCACGCCCUAAACGAUGUUCACUAGUCGUCGGGAUGCUAGUCAUCUCGGUGAUGCACUUAACAGAUUAAGUGAACCGCCUGGGGAGUACGGUCGCAAGAUUAAAACUCAAAGGAAUAGACGGGGACCCGCACAAGUGGUGGAGCAUGUGGUUUAAUUCGAAGAUACGCGAAGAACCUUACCUAGCCUUGACAUUGAAGAAACACACUAGAGAUAGAGUGGUGCCCUUCGGGG